GAUGAACGCUGGCGGCGUGCCUAAUACAUGCAAGUCGAGCGAACGGACGAGAAGCUUGCUUCUCUGAUGUUAGCGGCGGACGGGUGAGUAACACGUGGAUAACCUACCUAUAAGACUGGGAUAACUUCGGGAAACCGGAGCUAAUACCGGAUAAUAUUUUGAACCGCAUGGUUCAAAAGUGAAAGACGGUCUUGCUGUCACUUAUAGAUGGAUCCGCGCUGCAUUAGCUAGUUGGUAAGGUAACGGCUUACCAAGGCAACGAUGCAUAGCCGACCUGAGAGGGUGAUCGGCCCCACUGGAACUGAGACACGGUCCAGACUCCUACGGGAGGCAGCAGUAGGGAAUCUUCCGCAAUGGGCGAAAGCCUGACGGAGCAACGCCGCGUGAGUGAUGAAGGUCUUCGGAUCGUAAAACUCUGUUAUUAGGGAGGAACAUAUGUGUAAGUAACUGUGCACAUCUUGACGGUACCUAAUCAGAAAGCCACGGCUAACUACGUG
RNAcentral lists this ribosomal RNA (497 nucleotides) under uncultured bacterium. Its description in RNAcentral is "partial 16S ribosomal RNA". It matches the Rfam family "Bacterial small subunit ribosomal RNA", at positions 28 to 507 of the family's 1533-position model. The record is from RNAcentral.